CGUUGUUAAAGUUGAUUGGGGACUAUGAUCCUAUAUUUUUGGAAAUACCAUAUGAUUUUGCAACCUUUUUGUGGGGAGAACAACUUCCAUAUGUCAAUGUCUUAAAAUUAUUGAUGAUGAUUUAUCGUGUUUAUUUUGGAUGGUCCGGAGUUUUUGGCUGCAACUAUGUUAGACAGAGAUAUGCUUGCUAUUGCUGUAAAUUGGUACCAUGUCGGUUGGUUUUGCUUGGUAAGAUUUGUGACGAUGCGUCGGACAAACAACAUUGGGAAAAUAUACAGCCUUGAUCCUUGAUGACCAAUGUAUAUCUCUAUUUGAGGAAUUCUCCAAAGAUCCAGAGCCGAUUGUUUCAUAAAGCUGUGAAGUUGCGUUAAACAUACUAGAUUUUGAACGAUCCGACAAACCAUUCGAGGUACUUGGAAGAUUAAGUCUCUUAUCUGGGUGGUUGUUACAGGUUUAGGAUGUUAAAUGAUUUUGGAUGUACUCUGCGAUGUCGAUGAUGCCGAGAUGUUGGAGAAGCUCAGGUUAACAACUUCAUGUGUAUAUUUUAAUGAAUAAAGUUUUUGUUGUUUAUAUUUUCUAAUUUAAACUUUUAAUUAACUUCUAAAUUUAAUUAAAUGAGUUUGUUUUGCAGGUUCGAACAACUUCAUGUGUAUAUUUUAUUAUAAAAAAUAAAAGUUUUUUUUUGUUUCAUGGGUCGUUCAGAGAGGCAAGUUUCUGCCUCCGGUUCUUGCCCGAAGUUUCUGACCUUACUUGUGACAACCCGAACUCUCGACCGUGAUCGUCGAGAGGAGUAAUCUAUUUUAUCAUUAUUAUUAUUAUUUGUUUAUCGGAUAAUAAAACACGCGACGGACGAUUUAUUUAAUUACGCAUCUAGUUAACAUAAUUGGGCCUAAUUUGUUUUCGCUAGAAAUCCACACACACGCACUUGGGCUAGGCCCAACCUACCUAAACCUAGUGUUUAAACAUCCCUAUACCUCUCACCCCUAUUUAAAAAAAAAAAAAUAAACAUAAAAACCCUAACCUAAAAUAAUAGCCGCACACCACGCACUUCUCCAUGCCUCUUCUUCAUCUCCGACGGCCGGAAGUUCCGGUGCCCCUUUCACCAACCGUAGCACACCCUCAUACAUUUACAACCCUCCUUCAUUCUAUUUGAUCAAGCCCUCACAAGACCCCAUCUCCCCUUAUCUUGUUCCCACACGCACACCCCUGCACAGUAGAGAUAGAGAGAGAGAGAGAGAGCAAAGAUAGAACCGGCGACGACCGGAGACGCCGCUCAUGUCCGCAGUGACGGCGUUUUCUCCUUCUCCGAUGGUGAUAAAGCUGUGAAGACGCUGAUUCAGCAACAGAUUUUGAGCGGGUUCGAGCUCGGUUCGGACUUGGGUUCGAAUCACGGAUGUUUCGGGUUUGUUCCGGGUCUCGGUUCAGAAAAGGAAGUAGCAGGACGUGAUUGACCUACCUUGACUGUUAACCAUUUUUAAGAGACCAACCGAGCAAACCAAAGGUAAUUAUUGAAGGAACUUGGGAGCUUGCUGUCUGAUGCUGCUGGAGUGGUUGUGGUCAUAA
Long non-coding RNA from Helianthus annuus (common sunflower), 1563 nucleotides. RefSeq lists it as uncharacterized. The transcript has 7 exons. Lineage: Eukaryota; Viridiplantae; Streptophyta; Magnoliopsida; Asterales; Asteraceae. The record is from RefSeq and is a predicted model, not a curated record.